RNAcentral lists this long non-coding RNA (1214 nucleotides) under Capra hircus (goat). RNAcentral's name for it is "lncRNA (ENSCHIG00010002643.1)". The record is from RNAcentral. Lineage: Eukaryota; Metazoa; Chordata; Mammalia; Artiodactyla; Bovidae.
UAAAAAGAUGAACAGGUCUAGGCUAUGCCCUCAAGUUCCAACAGUGUCUUAGGAAUGAGAGUGGGAAACAGUAAUGAUCCAAUGUUCAGGGUAUCUGGAAGCCAAGGAAAAUGUAUGACCUGACCUUGCCAAAGUCUCUGGGUAGAGAAGAGGGCUGGUAAGCCUUCAUAGUGCUUUCUAAACUAUACAAAUAACUUCUAUUAAUUCACUGAUAGCAUCAUAAGAUCAAUUGAAGUUCAUUUUUUCAGUUCCUGUUCAAAACCACCUUAAUACGACAAAUAUUUAGAAAUACUGACUCAUAAAGAAAUAUGAAGUGGAAUUAAAAAUAACAAUAAUAAACCAACAUUUAUUAAUUCAGGUACCAGUCUAAGCUCUUUACGUGUAGUAACUCCUUUAGUUCUCACUAGAACUGUAAGAGAUGAGUAGUAAUACUAUUUCCAUUUUACAGACUAAAAAAUUGAGUCAUAGAAUGAUACAGAUGGCCAAGUAACACUUAUUGUCUAUAAUGUACCUGAUACUAAGAUUAAAGCAAGGAGUAGAGAGAAAUGAAAGUUUUAAUUAGAGUAAAACUUGGGUCUUUGUGGGUAAGUGAACGAGUCGGUAGAUACUUUCUGAGGGCCUUUCAAUGUCACACCCUGAAAAUCCUUCUUUACUUUGUUUCAUAUGUUGUGAAGUAAGGAAAAGCAAGAGAUGAGAAAAGGAGGAAAGUAGACUAAGGCCACCAGGGCUUUUGGGAGAUAACUCCAACCGUUAAUACCAAAGAACCCGCACUCAGGAGGUAAACAAGAAACAUUUGUGGAACAAAGUAUAUGAAGGAAAUAAGUUGUGGAGGAAAAAUAAAAAGCUCAUUCAGAGAUGGAAAAAUAUUGACCAGAAAAGAAAGCAAAAGCAAGUUCACAAAUGGCCAACUCUCAGUCACACUCCGAUUCUCGGCUUAGAAGUUUUCAACUCUAAAAGCUCUCUAUGGGCGCUCGUGUUCCCAGAGCACUGUGUAUUUUCUGACAAUAUCACCAUGACUCUACACUGGAAGUACCUGUUUAUGUGUUAGCAUCCUUGAGCUUCUGGAUGGUGGAGACUGCUGUGGUGUUGCUCUUUGCUGUAAGUUGGGCUCCUUAGACGCACAGCCUAAGAUGAAAGUUCUUAUCAUGUGAUUUAUUGAGAGCGUACUUUCAGGUGAGACCUGUGGAAUGAGGGAAACAGUAUAGGGUAAGCUG